RNAcentral lists this ribosomal RNA (388 nucleotides) under unidentified bacterium sp. sbr-gs4. RNAcentral's name for it is "bacterial SSU rRNA". It matches the Rfam family "Bacterial small subunit ribosomal RNA", at positions 28 to 429 of the family's 1533-position model. The record is from RNAcentral.
AUUGAACGCUGGCGGCAUGCCUAACACAUGCAAGUCGAACGGAGGGCUUCGGCCCUCAGUGGCGGACGGGUGAGUAACGCGUAGGGAUCUGCCCCGCAGUGGGGGACAACCUGGGAAACUCAGGCUAAUACCGCAUACGCUCCAUGGAGGAAGGCGGGGGACCUUCGGGCCUCGCGCUGCGGGAUGAACCUACGUCCGAUUAGCUAGUUGGUGGGGUAAGGGCCCACCAAGGCGACGAUCGGUAGCUGGUCUGAGAGGACGGCCAGCCACACUGGGACUGAGACACGGCCCAGACUCCUACGGGAGGCAGCAGUGGGGAAUAUUGGACAAUGGGCGCAAGCCUGAUCCAGCAAUGCCGCGUGGGUGAAGACGGCCUGCGGGUUGUAAA